CCUACGGGCGGCAGCAGUGGGGGAUAUUGCACAAUGGGGGAAACCCUGAUGCAGCGACGCCGCGUGGGUGAAGAAGCGCCUCGGCGCGUAAAGCCCUGUCAGCAGGGAAGAAAAUGACGGUACCUGAAGAAGAAGCCCCGGCUAACUACGUGCCAGCAGCCGCGGUAAUACGUAGGGGGCAAGCGUUAUCCGGAUUUACUGGGUGUAAAGGGGGCGCAGACGGCGAGGCAAGCAAGGAGUGAAAGCCCGGGGCCCAACCCCGGGACUGCUCUUGAAACUGCGUGGCUAGAGUGCAGGAGGGGCAGGCGGAAUUCCUGGUGUAGCGGUGAAAUGCGUAGAUAUCAGGAGGAACACCGGUGGCGAAGGCGGCCUGCUGGACUGCAACUGACGUUGAGGCCCGAAAGCGUGGGGAGCAAACAGGAUUAGAUACCCGAGUAGUC
Molecule: ribosomal RNA, 440 nt
Filed under: uncultured bacterium
Lineage: Bacteria
Description: partial 16S ribosomal RNA
Rfam family: Bacterial small subunit ribosomal RNA
Source: RNAcentral